AUUGAACGCUGGCGGCAGGCCUAACACAUGCAAGUCGAGCGGAUGAAGGGAGCUUGCUCCUGGAUUCAGCGGCGGACGGGUGAGUAAUGCCUAGGAAUCUGCCUGGUAGUGGGGGAUAACGUCCGGAAACGGGCGCUAAUACCGCAUACGUCCUGAGGGAGAAAGUGGGGGAUCUUCGGACCUCACGCUAUCAGAUGAGCCUAGGUCGGAUUAGCUAGUUGGUGGGGUAAAGGCCUACCAAGGCGACGAUCCGUAACUGGUCUGAGAGGAUGAUCAGUCACACUGGAACUGAGACACGGUCCAGACCCCUACGGGAGGCAGCAGGGGGGAAUUUUGGACAAGGGGCGAAAGCCUAAUCCAGCCAUGCCGGGUGUGUGAAGAAGGUUUUCGGAUUGUAAAGAACUUUAAGUUGGGAGGAAGGGCAGUAAGUUAAUACCUUGCUGUUUUGACGUUACCAAAAGAAGAAGCACCGGAUAACUUCGU
This 483-nucleotide ribosomal RNA is filed under the name uncultured bacterium. RNAcentral's name for it is "partial 16S ribosomal RNA". It matches the Rfam family "Bacterial small subunit ribosomal RNA", at positions 30 to 506 of the family's 1533-position model. The record is from RNAcentral.